AUGCAGUCGAACGGAUUGGCGUUUAGCGGAAGCUUGCUUGAGGCGGGGAUCACGGGAAACCGUGAGAGCCGCGGAUGGCAAGCGGAAGCUAUUAGCCGGUCAGUGGCGGACGGGUGAGUAACACGUGGGCGACCUGCCCUAAAGUGGGGGAUAACUAUCCGAAAGGAUGGCUAAUACCGCAUGUGGUCCGACAUUCAUUUGCCGGACUAAAGGAGAAAUCCGCUUUUCGAGGGGCCCGCGGCCCAUCAGCUAGUUGGUAGGGUAAUGGCCUACCAAGGCGGUGACGGGUAGCUGGUCUGAGAGGAUGAUCAGCCACAUUGGCACUGAGACACGGGCCAAACUCCUACGGGAGGCAGCAGUGAGGAAUAUUGCGCAAUGGGCGAAAGCUUGACGCAGCAACGCCGCGUGGGCGAUGAAGGUCUUCGGAUCGUAAAGCCCUUUUCCAGAGGAAGAGGAAGGACGGUACUCUGGGAAUAAGUCUCGGCUAACUACGUGCCAGCAGCCGCGGUAAAACGUAGGAGACUAGCGUUAUCCGGAUUUAUUGGGCGUAAAGCGCGUGUAGGCGGUGCUUUAAGUUGGAUGUAAAAUCUCCUGGCCUAACUGGGAGGCGCCAUUCAAAACUGGAGCACUUGAGGGCAGAAGAGGGAAGUGGAAUUCCCGGUGUAGCGGUGGAAUGCGUAGAUAUCGGGAGGAACACCUGUGGCGAAAGUGGCUUCCUGGGCUGCCCCUGACGCUGAGACGCGAAAGCUAGGGGAGCGAACGGGGAUUAGAUACCCCGGUAGUCCUAGCUGUAAACGAUGGAUACUAAGUGUUGGUGGUAUUAACCCCCAUCAGUGCCC
Molecule: ribosomal RNA, 839 nt
Filed under: uncultured bacterium
Lineage: Bacteria
Description: bacterial SSU rRNA
Rfam family: Bacterial small subunit ribosomal RNA
Source: RNAcentral